AUGGCCAUGCCUCCCAUUAGUUUGUUGGUAAGGUAACGGCUUACCAAGACUACGAUGGGUAGGGGCCCUGAGAGGGGGAUCCCCCACACUGGUACUGAGACACGGACCUUACUCCUACGGGAGGCACCAGUGAGGAAUAUUGGACAAUGGAGAAGACUCUGAUCCAGCCAUGCCGCGUGCAGGAAAAAUGCCCUAUGGGUAGUAAACUGCUUUUAUACGGGAAGAAAAAGAGCUACGUGUACCUUACUGACGGUACCGUAAGAAUAAGGACCGGCUAACUCCGUGCCAGCAGCCGCGGUAAUACGGAGGGUCCGAGCGUUAUCCGGAAUUAUUGGGUUUAAAGGGUCCGUAGGCGGGCCGAUAAGUCAGGGGUGAAAGUCUGCCGCUCAACGGUAGAACUGCCUUUGAUACUGUCGGUCUUGA
Molecule: ribosomal RNA, 423 nt
Filed under: Maribacter stanieri
Lineage: Bacteria; Pseudomonadati; Bacteroidota; Flavobacteriia; Flavobacteriales; Flavobacteriaceae
Description: bacterial SSU rRNA
Rfam family: Bacterial small subunit ribosomal RNA
Source: RNAcentral